AUGCCCCCCCUGUCCCUCGUCCCUUCCGUCGGGCGAAGCAGCCAAGCACCACCUCUCGCCACGAGGGCGAAGGCGGAGGAGCCGAUAGAAGGAGAAGACCAUCUCGGCGUGGCGCCGCCCCCAAAUUAUUGUUGGGGGGCAAAACGCUCGCGGACGAACAACAACAACUGGAGGGACUGGUCCAACCUAGACGAUGGGCCGUUAGCUGCUCCAAACCGCCGUUGCUUCCUGAACUCCUUCACCGGCGAGUUCAUCCAAGUGGACCUCCCGGAGCUCCUUGACCAUGAGCUUCUUGCUGUCACCCCGGAGGGCCUCCUUGUCCUGUUCCAUGACCACAACCACGUCCGCCUGCUCAACCCACUCACGCGUCACGUCACAGAGCUACCACCGCUCACCACGCUGCUUCCUUCUAAACACCAUGUCAUGCUUUCCUAUUUCAACAUAGACGACUUCUUAGCGACAGGCUCUGGCAUUGCUAGUGAUGAUUCAACAGUGGUGCUCUGCUUCAAUAGGUUCCGCAUUCUUGGCAUGGCAAAGCCCGGUGAUGACCACUGGAUUUUGCUGAAGUACAACCAUGAUGGGUUCACAUACACACCCUUAAUGUUUGCAGGGCGCUUCUACUAUGUUAAGGUUGAUGGUGUCAUGGCGCUGCAAAUCUGUCCUAACCAGCCACCACGGCUGGAGGUGGCUGCCAAGCUGAAUAUGCAUGUCUCACCAAUUUCGGAAGGGUUGCACCUCGUCAACAGUUGUGGUGACUUGAUGCUGAUCCACCGUCAGACUGUUCCAUUGACGUCGCUGGAUAAAUCGUGUUAUCAGUAUGACAUGUAUCGAGUGAAUUUGGAUACCGGAACACUAUUACCAGUCAAGAGCUUGGGUGGUGGCGCAGGGCGAGCGAUGUUCUGGGGCAUGCAUUGCUCUUUCUCGGUGCCUCUAGAGGUUUUUCCCUCUGGCUCCAUUAGCGCUGACACCAUCUACCCGAGCUUUGACUUUACUGAGAGAAGCCUGUUAGAAGUUGGAGCAUAUCAUCUCCUGGAUGGACACAUUGAUCGACCAUCUGGCUUGUUGCAGCGGCCGAAUACUCUGGUUGACUGUCUAUCUUUGUCCAAUACGGUUGAUGAUGAGUAG
This 1125-nucleotide ribosomal RNA is filed under the name Triticum aestivum (bread wheat). Its description in RNAcentral is "partial small subunit ribosomal RNA". The record is from RNAcentral. Lineage: Eukaryota; Viridiplantae; Streptophyta; Magnoliopsida; Poales; Poaceae.